AUGGUCCUUUGGGAUAGUACUUUGGGAGCUGUUUACGUUGGGAGGGACUCCAUAUCCAGGAAUACCUGUUUCCGAAGUGUACAAAAUUUUGCUAAGUGGUAAACGUAUGGAGCCACCUAUUCAUUGCCCUGAAGAAAUAUCUUAUCUGAUGAUGAAAUGUUGGAACGAAAACCCAGAGUUGAGACCUACAUUUUUGGAGGUGAAAGAUAGGUUUGAUGUUCUCAUUUCGAGCAACAAGAAACUAAACCUUGAUGAAAAAAUCUAUGUCAAUGAAAACAUUAAUAAAAACGAAAAGCAGUAAAGCCACAGAGAUCACUGAAGAUUGACAAUUGAGGUGUCCUAUAUUUAUUUAUUCAAGCCCUACAUAAAUAGUUUGUAUUGAAAUCAUUACUGAUUAUGAAUUAGAAUAGUUUUAACAUUAUUACUAUGCUACAUGUUUGUAUAAUGUAAUCAUCCAAGUUAGUAAAGUCCUGGAAAAAGACAGUUGGUGUUGAUGUUCCUGACGUUUCGAAAAACUUAGCAGUAGUCAUUUAACGAUCCUAGGCUCAAACCAUUCAUUUUAUUAUUAGUAUGUCCCAUAAAUAUCACUCGUCUUAAAGACCCUGAGUUAAAAUGCCGUUCAUUUAUGUUAUUAAGCAAGAAGAUAAAUGUGGGGCUAAUAUUUUACCUGUAUUAUAUUCAUGUAAAUGGACGCUACACAAUAAACCUUUGAGUAUAUAUUCAAUAAAA
Molecule: long non-coding RNA, 729 nt
Organism: Xenia sp. Carnegie-2017
Lineage: Eukaryota; Metazoa; Cnidaria; Anthozoa; Malacalcyonacea; Xeniidae
Exons: 5
Source: RefSeq, a predicted model, not a curated record